AACGAACGCUGGCGGCAUGCCUAACACAUGCAAGUCGAACGAGACCUUCGGGUCUAGUGGCGCACGGGUGCGUAACGCGUGGGAACCUGCCCUUAGGUUCGGAAUAACUCCCCUAAAGGGGGGCUAAUACCGGAUAAUGUCUUCGGACCAAAGAUUUAUCGCCUUUGGGUGGGCCCGCGUUGGAUUAGCUAGUUGGUAGGGUAAAAGCCUACCAAGGCUACGAUCCAUAGCUGGUUUGAGAGGAUGAUCCGCCACACUGGGACUGAGACACGGCCCAGACUCUUACGGGAGGCAGCAGUGGGGAAUAUUGGAAAACGGCCGAAAGGCUGAUCCAGCACUGCCGCGUGAGUGAUGAAGGCGUUAGGGUUGUAAAGCUCUUUUACCCGGGAUGAUAAUGACAGUACCGGGAGAAUAAGCUCCGGCUAACUCCGUG
This 433-nucleotide ribosomal RNA is filed under the name uncultured bacterium. Its description in RNAcentral is "partial 16S ribosomal RNA". It matches the Rfam family "Bacterial small subunit ribosomal RNA", at positions 29 to 507 of the family's 1533-position model. The record is from RNAcentral.